GAAUUAUGACAUGUUUAAUGGUUUAUUGAAAAGCUUGUACCAAAUCAAAGGUGUGUAAAAUAUGUCCUAGUUAUAUAGAAGACAAGACACCACAACCAUGACAGAGCAGAAAAUGAAGGGAGCUGAAAUCAACCAUAUAACAUCGUAUCAAUGAGACAUGAAGGAGGUUGCUUUCCAGGGGUGUGAUGUCAGUACAGGGGUGUGAUGUCAGUACAGGGGUGUGAUGUCAGUACAGGGGUGUGAUGUCAGUACAGGGGUGUGAUGUCAGUACAGGGGUGUGAUGUCAGGACAGGGGUUUGAUGUCAGUACAGGGGUGUGAUGUCAGUACAGGGGUGUGAUGUCAGUACAGGGGUGUGAUGUCAGUACAGGGGUGUGAUGUCAGUACAGGGGUGUGAUGUCAGGACAGGGGUGUGAUGUCAGGACAGGGGUGUGAUGUCAGUACAGGGGUAUGAUGUCAGGACAGGGGUGUGAUGUCAGGACAGGGGUGUGAUGUCAGGACAGGGGUUUGAUGUCAGUACAGGGGUGUGAUGUCAGUACAGGGGUGUGAUGUCAGUACAGGGGUGUGAUGUCAGUACAGGGGUGUGAUGUCAGUACAGGGGUGUGAUGUCAGGACAGGGGUGUGAUGUCAGGACAGGGGUGUGAUGUCAGUACAGGGGUAUGAUGUCAGGACAGGGGUGUGAUGUCAGGACAGGGGUGUGAUGUCAGUACAGGGGUGUGAUGUCAGUACAGGGGUGUGAUGUCAGUACAGGGGUGUGAUGGCAGGGGUGUGAUGUCAGUACAGGGGUGUGAUGUCAGGACAGGGGUGUGAUGUCAGGACAGGGGUGUGAUGUCAGGACAGGGGUGUGAUGUCAGGACAGGGGUGUGAAGUCAGUACAGGGGUGUGAUGUCAGUACAGGGGUGUGAUGUCAGUACAGGGGUGUGAUGUCAAUACAGGGGUGUGAUGUCAGUACAGGGGUGUGAUGUCAGUACAGGGGUGUGAUGUCAGGACAGGGGUGUGAUGUCAGUACAGGGGUGUGAUGUCAGUACAGGGGUGUGAUGUCAGUACAGGGGUGUGAUGUCAGUACAGGGGUGGGAUGUCAGUACAGGGGUGUGAUGUCAGGACAGGGGUGUGAUGUCAAUACAGGGGUGUGAUGUCAGGGAAGGGGUGUGAUGUCAGGACAGGGGUGUGAUGUCAGGACAGGGGUGUGAUGUCAGGACAGGGGUGUGAUGUCAGUACAGGGGUGUG
Oncorhynchus mykiss (rainbow trout) is the source of this 1225-nucleotide non-coding RNA. Lineage: Eukaryota; Metazoa; Chordata; Actinopteri; Salmoniformes; Salmonidae. The record is from RefSeq and is a predicted model, not a curated record.